GUGAGGAAUAUUGGUCAAUGGACGAGAGUCUGAACCAGCCAAGUCGCGUGAAGGAAGACGGUUCUAUGAAUUGUAAACUUCUUUUGUGCAGGAAUAAAGUGGGUUACGUGUAACCUUUUGUAUGUACUGUACGAAUAAGGAUCGGCUAACUCCGUGCCAGCAACCGCGGUAAUACGGAGGAUCCGAGCGUUAUCCGGAUUUAUUGGGUUUAAAGGGUGCGUAGGUGGAUUGAUAAGUCAGCGGUGAAAGUUUGCAGCUUAACUGUAAAAUUGCCGUUGAAACUGUCGGUCUUGAGUGCAAAUGAGGUAGGCGGAAUGUGUUGUGUAGCGGUGAAAUGCUUAGAUAUAACACAGAACUCCGAUUGCGAAGGCAGCUUACUGGGAUGCAACUGACACUGAUGCACGAAAGCGUGGGUAUCAAACAGGAUUAGAAACCCGAGUAGUCC
Molecule: ribosomal RNA, 445 nt
Filed under: uncultured bacterium
Lineage: Bacteria
Description: partial 16S ribosomal RNA
Rfam family: Bacterial small subunit ribosomal RNA
Source: RNAcentral